This 301-nucleotide ribosomal RNA is filed under the name uncultured bacterium. Its description in RNAcentral is "partial 16S ribosomal RNA". It matches the Rfam family "Bacterial small subunit ribosomal RNA", at positions 509 to 807 of the family's 1533-position model. The record is from RNAcentral.
CAGUCGCCGCGGGAAAACGAAGGGGGCUAGCGUUGUUCGGAGUCACUGGGCGUAAAGCGCACGUAGGCGGAUACUUAAGUCAGGGGUGAAAUCCCGGGGCUCAACCUCGGAACUGCCUUUGAUACUGGGUAUCUUGAGUCCGGGAGAGGUUGGUGGAACUCCGAGUGUAGAGGUGAAAUUCGUAGAUAUUCGGAAGAACACCAGUGGCGAAGGCGGCCAACUGGCCCGGUACUGACGCUGAGGUGCGAAAGCGUGGGGAGCAAACAGGAUUAGAUACCCCCGUAGUCCCUGUCUCUUAUAC